AUGAAUAUUACGGGAGAGACUAAACGAAUUGUUUAGCACCGAAGGAGCAAGUUCUGAAAAGAAUUAAUCUCUCAGGUAAAAGGACCAUAAUAGGACG
Molecule: non-coding RNA, 97 nt
Filed under: Sporosarcina sp.
Lineage: Bacteria; Bacillati; Bacillota; Bacilli; Caryophanales; Caryophanaceae
Also listed under: 1 other name
Description: Glycine sequence
Rfam family: Glycine riboswitch aptamer
About the family: This family represents the bacterial glycine riboswitch.
Source: RNAcentral